Molecule: long non-coding RNA, 1106 nt
Filed under: Mus musculus (house mouse)
Lineage: Eukaryota; Metazoa; Chordata; Mammalia; Rodentia; Muridae
Description: predicted gene 20544
Source: RNAcentral
UUACUGCCACCCUCUCCCAGGUCUAGAGAGGGGUACCCACGGUGGAGGGAGGUGGGAGGCCGAGACGGCCCCGGGGGUCGGCGGAGACCCAGCGGGAGCAGGGGGAAAUCGGAAGAGCUGGGGGCAUGGAGCGGGCGAGUUUGGAGCGGAAUGAGCCGGGAGCCCUACGUUGUGGAAGGAAGACAACAGUAUAGGACCAUCAGCAGGACCGGACAGAGAGGGGCACCCCUGGCUGUCCUGGAACUUAUGUAAACCAGCCUGGCCUUGAACUUGCAGAGAUCCACCUGCCUUUGCCUCUGCCCCUGCCCCUGCCCCUGCCCCUGCCCCUGCCCCUGCCCCUGCCUUUCUGCCUCUGCCUCUGCCUCUCUGCCUUUCUGCCUCUGCCUCUCUGCCUCUGCCUCUCUGCCUCUGCCUCUCAAGUGUCAGGGAUUAAUGCCUGCCACCUCCCCAGUCCCACCCCUCUCCAUCUACCAUGUGGGUUCCACGGGGCAAACCCAAGUCAUCAGGCUUGUUGGCCAGUGCCUUUAUCCACUGAGCCAAGCCGCUUGGUGUGUCUUUGAUGGUGAUUAUUUACAGGAGCUAUUCAGCAAGGUUAAAUGCUGGCAACCCAAUGAGGGGGUCUCUUGAUCCAAAACUGAGAAGUUGAGGCACUAUUUCAGAAUGACCAAAGACAGUAGAAGAAUCUAGAUAUGUCGAUGAUGAGAACAAUGAUAACUCCAAAAGCUGAGGGAAAUUAACUCAAAAUCUUCCAGCUUCCUUUUCCUUACCUAGUUUGGCGGACUCCAACUCUUGGGAUAGCUUUUUUUCUGGCCCCAAACUCACCUGAUUCGUCUGUCCACUGCCACACUGAAGAAUGAACAGCUGUCUCAGAGAGCUUGGCUCCAGAGCUCUGCAAAAAGAGGACACCUUGCCUUGAGCUGUGUUUCCAGAAUGUAUUGCAGCCCCCAGAGUCAUGUACUGUGACCAGGUGAGGACAUGCAUCUUCUGUUCUCCUGCACCCAGGGCCCCAGCAACCAAGGAUCUGGGGACAUGGCGGGUGUUUGGCAGGUUCGCACUCUGAAAAUAUUUGAUGAGACUCAGUAUAUGCUAAAUAAACACUGGAUCAA